This 253-nucleotide ribosomal RNA is filed under the name uncultured bacterium. RNAcentral's name for it is "partial 16S ribosomal RNA". It matches the Rfam family "Bacterial small subunit ribosomal RNA", at positions 524 to 776 of the family's 1533-position model. The record is from RNAcentral.
UACGUAGGGGGCAAGCGUUGUCCGGAAUCAUUGGGCAUAAAGCGCGUGUAGGCGGACUGUCACGUCUGCUGUGAAAAGCUAGGGCUUAACCCUGGCCUUGCAGUGGAUACGGGCAGACUAGAGGUAGGUAGGGGAGAAUGGAAUUCCCGGUGUAGCGGUGAAAUGCGCAGAUAUCGGGAGGAACACCGGUGGCGAAGGCGGUUCUCUGGGCCUUACCUGACGCUGAGGAGCGAAAGCGUGGGGAGCGAACAGG